This 468-nucleotide ribosomal RNA is filed under the name uncultured bacterium. RNAcentral describes it as "partial 16S ribosomal RNA". It matches the Rfam family "Bacterial small subunit ribosomal RNA", at positions 28 to 507 of the family's 1533-position model. The record is from RNAcentral.
GACGAACGCUGGCGGCGUGCUUAACACAUGCAAGUCGAACGGAAAGGCCCUGCUUUUGUGGGGUGCUCGAGUGGCGAACAGGUGAGUAACACGUGAGUAACCUGCCCUUGACUUUGGGAUAACUUCAGGAAACUGGGGCUAAUACCGGAUAGGAGCUCCUGCUGCAUGGUGGGGGUUGGAAAGUUUCGGCGGUUGGGGAUGGACUCGCGGCUUAUCAGCUUGUUGGUGGGGUAGUGGCUUACCAAGGCUUUGGCGGGUAGCCGGCCUGAGAGGGUGACCGGCCACAUUGGGACUGAGAUACGGCCCAGACUCCUACGGGAGGCAGCAGUGGGGAAUAUUGCACAAUGGGCGGAAGCCUGAUGCAGCAACGCCGCGUGCGGGAUGACGGCCUUCGGGUUGUAAACCGCUUUCGCCUGUGACGAAGCGUGAGUGACGGUAAUGGGUAAAGAAGCACCGGCUAACUACGUG